GAGGAGCAUCUCAGCUAAGCAUUAAUUUCAUCAUGGAUGUAACUUCCAGGAAUGUGUUGACCGCGUCACCCACAACAGCGGUGACGUAGAAUUGCGUAACUGCCUUUGACAACAGUUCUCACCCUUAUUUAUAUUUCCACCUCUACCCUCCACUAAUCCUCCCCUCCUCCCACACUUCUCUCUCCACCAUGCACCAAGCCAUUUCCCACAGAAGCUUCAUCCCCAUAGGAGCACGUGGCAUGCCACACGCAGGAGGAAUCAAAGAAUCCAAUGGCACCUAUCCAUCCAAAGCUGCCACAAUGGUAUCGGAGAACGCGGUGGUAAUCAUUGGAAAACGGGGAUGCUGCAUGUGCCACGUGGUAAAAAGGUUGUUACAAGGUCUGGGAGUGAACCCUCCCGUGUACGAGGUGGACGAGGACCACGAAGCCGCCGUUGCUCUCCACCUGUCCCCGCAGGGCGCCGAAACGGUGCAGUUUCCGGCGGUGUUCCUGGCCGGCAAGUUGUUCGGAGGGUUGGAAAGAGUUAUGGCCACUCAUAUCUCAGGUGAAUUGGUUCCCAUCUUGAAGGAUGCUGGUGCCUUGUGGCUCUGAC
This 591-nucleotide long non-coding RNA is filed under the name Glycine max (soybean). Its description in RNAcentral is "long non-coding RNA (GMAX_LNC002982)". Lineage: Eukaryota; Viridiplantae; Streptophyta; Magnoliopsida; Fabales; Fabaceae. The record is from RNAcentral.